GCACUCUUAGCUCAGUUGGUUAGAGCGUGCGAUUCACAUUCGCAAGGUCGGAGGUUCGAUCCCUCCAGAGUGCA
Molecule: transfer RNA, 74 nt
Filed under: Candidatus Tayloriibacteriota bacterium
Lineage: Bacteria; Candidatus Tayloriibacteriota
Description: tRNA-Val
Rfam family: tRNA
About the family: Transfer RNA (tRNA) molecules are approximately 80 nucleotides in length.
Source: RNAcentral